UACGGAGGGGGCUAGCGUUGUUCGGAAUUACUGGGCGUAAAGCGCACGUAGGCGGCUUUGUAAGUUAGAGGUGAAAGCCCAAGGCUUAACCCUGGAAUUGCCUUUAAGACUGCAUCGCUAGAAUCGUGGAGAGGUGAGUGGAAUUCCGAGUGUAGAGGUGAAAUUCGUAGAUAUUCGGAAGAACACCAGUGGCGAAGGCGACUCACUGGACACGUAUUGACGCUGAGGUGCGAAAGCGUGGGGAGCAAACAGG
RNAcentral lists this ribosomal RNA (253 nucleotides) under uncultured bacterium. RNAcentral describes it as "partial 16S ribosomal RNA". It matches the Rfam family "Bacterial small subunit ribosomal RNA", at positions 524 to 776 of the family's 1533-position model. The record is from RNAcentral.